UACAGAGGGGGCAAGCGUUGUUCGGAAUUACUGGGCGUAAAGGGCGCGUAGGCGGGUUUUUAAGUCAGAGGUGAAAUCCUGGAGCUCAACUCCAGAACUGCCUUUGAUACUGAGAAUCUUGAGUACGGGAGAGGUGAGUGGAACUGCGAGUGUAGAGGUGAAAUUCGUAGAUAUUCGCAAGAACACCAGUGGCGAAGGCGGCUCACUGGCCCGUAACUGACGCUGAGGCACGAAAGCGUGGGGAGCAAACAGG
This 253-nucleotide ribosomal RNA is filed under the name uncultured bacterium. RNAcentral's name for it is "partial 16S ribosomal RNA". It matches the Rfam family "Bacterial small subunit ribosomal RNA", at positions 524 to 776 of the family's 1533-position model. The record is from RNAcentral.